CUUGUAGUACUGGGACUCUAACCAUAGGCCAUGAAUCUGGUCUUGGGACACUGUCAGGUGGGCAGUUUGACUGGGGCGGUCGCCUCCCAAAAGGUAACGGAGGCGCUCAAAGGUUCUCUCAGUACGGUCGGAAAUCGUACGUAGAGUGUAAAGGCAAAAGAGAGCUUGAUUGCAAGACAUACAGGUCGAGCAAGGAUGAAAAUCGGACUUAGUGAUCCGGUGGUUCUGCGUGGAAGGGCCAGCGCUCAACGGAUAAAAGCUACCCUGGGGAUAACAGGCUUAUCUCCCCCAAGAGUCCACAUCGACGGGGAGGUUUGGCACCUCGAUGUCGGCUCAUCACAUCCUGGGGCUGUAGUAGGUCCCAAGGGUUGGG
This 373-nucleotide ribosomal RNA is filed under the name Clostridioides difficile. RNAcentral describes it as "partial 23S ribosomal RNA". It matches the Rfam family "Bacterial large subunit ribosomal RNA", at positions 2205 to 2576 of the family's 2925-position model. Lineage: Bacteria; Bacillati; Bacillota; Clostridia; Peptostreptococcales; Peptostreptococcaceae. The record is from RNAcentral.